UUCUGAUCUCAAAUCAGGUAGGACUACCCGCUGAACUUAA
Molecule: ribosomal RNA, 40 nt
Filed under: Leptoporus mollis
Lineage: Eukaryota; Fungi; Basidiomycota; Agaricomycetes; Polyporales; Irpicaceae
Description: partial 28S ribosomal RNA
Source: RNAcentral